Molecule: non-coding RNA, 2881 nt
Organism: Saimiri boliviensis boliviensis (Bolivian squirrel monkey)
Lineage: Eukaryota; Metazoa; Chordata; Mammalia; Primates; Cebidae
Source: RefSeq, a predicted model, not a curated record
GUCCCUCGCGCCGCGCCGUCGGGGCCGUGCGCCUGCGCGGGAGCUGGCAGCAUGGCGUUCCGGCAGGCGCUGCAGCUGGCGGCGUGCGGGCUGGCCGGGGGCUCGGCCGCCGUGCUCUUCUCGGCCGUGGCGGUGGGGAAGCCGCGUGCGGGCGGGGACGCGGAGCCGCGUGCGGCCGAGCCCCCGGCCUGGGCGGGGGGCGCGCGGCCCAGCCCCGGCGUCUGGGACCCCAACUGGGACAGGCGAGAACCGCUGUCUCUGAUCAACCUGCGGAAGAGGAACGUGGAAUCUGGGGAAGAAGAGUUGGCGUCCAGGCUGGACCACUACAAAGCCAAGGCCACGCGGCACAUAUUCCUCAUCAGGCACUCCCAGUACCACGUGGAUGGCUCCCAGGAGAAGGACCGCACUCUGACCCCGCUGGGUCGGGAGCAGGCUGAACUCACCGGGCUCCGCCUCGCAAGCCUGGGCUUGAAGUUUAAUAAAAUCGUCCAUUCCUCUAUGACGCGCGCCGUAGAGACCACCGACAUCAUCAGCCGGCACCUGCCAGGCGUCUGCAAAGUCAGCACAGACCUGCUGCGGGAAGGUGCCCCCAUCGAGCCGGACCCGCCCGUGUCCCACUGGAAGCCGGAAGCUGUGCAGUAUUACGAAGACGGAGCCCGGAUCGAGGCCGCCUUCCGGAACUACAUCCACCGGGCGGACGCCAGGCAGGAGGAGGACAGCUACGAGAUCUUCAUUUGCCACGCCAACGUCAUCCGCUACAUCGUGUGCAGAGCGCUGCAGUUCCCUCCCGAAGGCUGGCUCCGGCUCUCCCUCAACAACGGCAGCAUCACCCACCUAGUCAUCCGACCCAACGGCCGAGUUGCACUCAGGACCCUCGGGGACACAGGGUUCAUGCCCCCCGACAAGAUCACCCGGUCCUGAGGGCGCCCACCCGGCCCCGGCCUCUCCUUCCCUCUGCCCUCCCCGCACCGGCCGCACCACGGUCACGUCUUGUUCCCGAGGAGGCCGGCAGAAAGUAGAAACCCACGACGCAGCACCUGGGGACUGACCCUGGCCGGGCUGGAGAGGGGCGAGUUCGGAUCAGACGGCCUGACUUCUCUGCAAGGUUUGACACCUGGCCGUGACCCAGCAGCACAGCACGGGGUUUCAGAGUAACCACCGUGUGAGCGGCUGUCCGUAACACCCAGGAAGACACUGACCUCCCGUUACUGCCUCCUGGUCACCUCGGCGAGCUCACGGCUGCUGCGUUCCCAGCUCCUCUCGCAUUCUGACCACAGACCUCCAUGAAAGCCAAGGUGAAGGCUACGGUGAGCACCGCCAGGGACUGAAACGCGGCUCAAACCUCUAGCUUCUGUACGUAAGGCAAUGGAAACCCCAACCGAAACCAACUCCAAAAUAAAGGAUAGCUUUACCAUAUCAUCAUUUAUGCCCAACGGAUCCUCUGAAUUUCACACAGAACAAUCGACAGGUUUUAUGACUGCUCCACUGGCACCUAAAUGAGAUGGCCGAGAAAGCUCAAGUGCUGAUGAAACCUCCGAACACCUGGGUGCCACUGCCGGGAACUUGGUGUGGCUGCUGGCAUCACUCCCACGGGCCACAGGACUUCCCAAGAGAAAAGCUGUUUGAGGUGCACUCGGGCUCCCUGCUCUCUGCCGGCCCCCUUCUCCCUCUGUCUAACCCAUGAGACCUACAGGCGAGCCAGCGGGGACCCUGCUACCAUCAGACGCGGCAAGGAGGCACACAGCUCAGGUAUUGCCAAGGCCUCCACCACGCCCCUCCCCGUCCGCGCGUGGGACGCUGGUGGGUGCGUGGCCCUCCCCGCCGUUUCCUCUGCUACAUUGCAGGCCUAGAAAUUGCCGCCUGAAGUCUACCAUUACCACACUGACAGUUUCCAGAAAACUGGUAUCUGAGUUUCAGUAACUUACAACUUCUUCCAAAAUACCAGAAAUCUAAGUUUUGUAGAGAACCAUGUAAAUUUUCUAAAAUUCUCACACCUCAAAGUGAGGAUUAAUAAUUUAAUAAGAAUAUACUCCUUUGUGACAUUUUAGCAAAAAACACACGACCCUUCCUCCUUUAGAAAUGAAGAGCGAAACGAGCCCCCGCCGUGAGCCUACGGGGCGCUGAGCUCGGCCAGGCGCGCCAUCCUGCGGAGCUGGCUCCCACGCGCGGGGCUGUAGCGCCCAGGGCUGCCCGGGCCCGGCUUCCUGGGGCUGCUCCCGGCCGCACCGUUUCUCCCCGGACUGGAGCUGUGAGGUCCGCUGAGAUCCGGCGGCCAAGACUUGAACUUUCCUUUCAGCGCGGGGCUGGGCCAACUACAGAAAGCAAGAAGGAACAGUCAGCAGACGCCGGGCCUGGAGAUGACAGCGAGAGCGCUGGGGCGCAGGGGCCCGGACGCGGGCACGGCUCCCGGGAGGCGCAGUCCCGGCACCGCGGCACUGGGAGGGCCGAGCGCACGGGGUUCCCAGGAGCGGCUUGUGCGACCCCGAGUAUAAAUCCUGUUUCCGCCCCCACGGCCCUCAGCUUCUCGGCAGCAGACCCGUUCUAGUUUCCACCCAACCAGGGACGGCCUGGGUGCACAGAGCCUCAACACGCACACCCACCGCCCGGCUGCCGGGCCUGCCGGCGCGACGCAAGACCACCGACACGUCCGUGGGAACUGGCGCGGCGCUCCGGGUGGGUCCCACGUACCUCUGCCUGUCGGAGGGCGAGUAGCACAGGACGGCACUCUUCCAUCUGUGCACAGCCGGGAACUGACGCGGGUCCACGUCCACACAUUCAAGAGCAGCCAAAACAUCCUGAUCUAGUUUCGACGGCUCCUCUCUGGAAAGCACAAUACAAGAAGCUAAAACAUCUUUGGUAAAAAAAGUAAGGAAUUCUAAAA